CAGACCACGAUUCUGCUAAAGCUGCCGGACAGGACAGAAGAAAAAAAAAACAAGCCGUUUAAUGAGUCUUUGUAUUCUGACUUCCAGUUAUGAUACCACUGUUGGCUUUGCUUGUGUGAACAGCAAAAACAAGCAGUGUCUGGAUUACAAAGUUCGCUUUCAAUGUCCUCCUUCAUUUUGUCCAGCAUAAAAUCACAUUAAGUACAACUGUAGACCAGCGGAUGGAGAUUUGGAGGAUUGAGGUCAAUGUCGUGUUUUCAUUUUUAUUCUGUUUCAACUUUAAUGACUUAUUGUUUCAGAAAAUUUCAUGUAGUUGUGCUUUGGAAAUGAUUAAUUGUGAAACAAUAUAAAAAACUUAAUACAAUUUUUUGCGUUUGUGGGUUUAAAUGAAACGUCAAACAUUUUCAAACUGUAUUUUUGAUGCUUAUUAUUCUAUCCAUCUUUCAACAAUACCCUGGUCAGGGGUGGUGGGGGCCUUCAGCUGCACAGGGUACAAGGCUGGUACAAGCACACAGUUAUAGUACAAGCACACAGUUAUAGUACAAGCACACAGUUAUGGUACAAGCAGGCAAAACAAGUACAGAUGUCAGUGUAAGGACUGACCUCAUAUACCAGUUUCUUCAAAUCAAGGAAUUUCAUUUAUAUUUAGUGUAUACAUCACAAUGUGAUCCAAAUAAAAAGUCAUGAAUUA
This is a non-coding RNA of Paramormyrops kingsleyae, 691 nucleotides long. Lineage: Eukaryota; Metazoa; Chordata; Actinopteri; Osteoglossiformes; Mormyridae. The record is from RefSeq and is a predicted model, not a curated record.